Molecule: ribosomal RNA, 301 nt
Filed under: uncultured bacterium
Lineage: Bacteria
Description: partial 16S ribosomal RNA
Rfam family: Bacterial small subunit ribosomal RNA
Source: RNAcentral
CAGCCGCCGCGGUAAUACGAAGGGUGCAAGCGUUAAUCGGAAUUACUGGGCGUAAAGCGUGCGUAGGCGGUUUGUUAAGUCUGUUGUGAAAUCCCCGGGCUCAACCUGGGAAUGGCAAUGGAUACUGGCAAGCUAGAGUGUGUCAGAGGAUGGUGGAAUUCCCGGUGUAGCGGUGAAAUGCGUAGAGAUCGGGAGGAACAUCAGUGGCGAAGGCGGCCAUCUGGGACAACACUGACGCUGAGGCGCGAAAGCGUGGGGAGCAAACAGGAUUAGAUACCCCUGUAGUCCCUGUCUCUUAUAC